UUCACAAUCACAGCUGUGUGGCUCAGUGAGAUGGAUUUCCUACCGUCUAUAAUACAGCUGUCCACCUCUGGGUAAUGCAGCUGUGUGAUUGAUUGGUGUCACAGAUGACUGACGCAGCACGCAUUCUCAUCUGCAGGGUGAUUACAGGCUCUGCCUCAAAGAUUUUCACCCAGGUACAAACAUGCAUCUUUAUACAAAAUACAUCACAAGGAAAAAUAGACUGAAAGCUGCAGAAACAACAGAGUGAAAGGUUUAUGACCCCCGUGUGCAGAAGAAGAACGUGGACGUCACACAUCAACAGACCGUUUAAGGAAGUGAUAAUGGAUCGAUUUUAAAGUUUUUUAGCUGACAGUAUCAUCAUGAGGUCAUAAAAAGAUGAAGGAAGACAAAAGAAAGCACAACUUCAGUGGAGUAUGAACUUCAGAUCUGCUUGUGGUGCAGAAUUAUGUCACAUUUCACAUCAAUGAUUAAAUGCUGACAGAGUUACCUGACUCCUGGUGGGGCCCCCCUCUGCUCCUGCGCAGGGGCCCAGCGUGAGGACAGGCAUCUCCUGG
Long non-coding RNA from Gambusia affinis (western mosquitofish), 554 nucleotides. RefSeq lists it as uncharacterized. The transcript is spliced from 3 exons. The record is from RefSeq and is a predicted model, not a curated record. Lineage: Eukaryota; Metazoa; Chordata; Actinopteri; Cyprinodontiformes; Poeciliidae.